Molecule: ribosomal RNA, 363 nt
Filed under: uncultured bacterium
Lineage: Bacteria
Description: bacterial SSU rRNA
Rfam family: Bacterial small subunit ribosomal RNA
Source: RNAcentral
AAGGGGAGCAAUCCCUGAGUAGAGUGGCAAACGGGUGAGUAACACGUGGGUGACCUGCCUUCGAGUGGGGGAUAACGUCCCGAAAGGGACGCUAAUACCGCAUGACAUCCUGUCCUUAGAAGGACGGAGAUCAAAGCUAGGGAUCGCAAGACCUGGCGCUUGAAGAGGGGCCCGCGCCUGAUUAGCUAGUUGGUGAGGUAACGGCUCACCAAGGCUACGAUCAGUAUCCGGCCUGAGAGGGCGGACGGACACACUGGGACUGAGACACGGCCCAGACUCCUACGGGAGGCAGCAGUGGGGAAUUGUUCGCAAUGGGCGCAAGCCUGACGACGCAACGCCGCGUGGAGGAUGAAGAUCUUCGGG